This 466-nucleotide ribosomal RNA is filed under the name uncultured bacterium. RNAcentral's name for it is "partial 16S ribosomal RNA". It matches the Rfam family "Bacterial small subunit ribosomal RNA", at positions 28 to 507 of the family's 1533-position model. The record is from RNAcentral.
GAUGAACGCUGGCGGCGUGCUUAACACAUGCAAGUCGAACGAUGAAGCUCAGCUUGCUGGGUGGAUUAGUGGCGAACGGGUGAGUAACACGUGAGUAACCUGCCCUUAACUCUGGGAUAAGCCUGGGAAACUAGGUCUAAUACCGGAUAGGAGCGCCUACCGCAUGGUGGGUGUUGGAAAGAUUUAUCGGUUUUGGAUGGACUCGCGGCCUAUCAGCUUGUUGGUGAGGUAAUGGCUCACCAAGGCGACGACGGGUAGCCGGCCUGAGAGGGUGGCCGGCCACACUGGGACUGAGACACGGCCCAGACUCCUACGGGAGGCAGCAGUGGGGAAUAUUGCACAAUGGGCGAAAGCCUGAUGCAGCGACGCCGCGUGAGGGAUGACGGCCUUCGGGUUGUAAACCUCUUUCAGUAGGGAAGAAGCGAAAGUGACGGUACCUGCAGAAGAAGCACCGGCUAACUACGUG